GAGGGAAUAGCUCAGAGACAGAGUGCAUGCUUAGCAUGCACAAGGUCCUGAGUUCAAUCCUCAGUACCUCCA
This 72-nucleotide transfer RNA is filed under the name Camelus bactrianus (Bactrian camel). It matches the Rfam family "tRNA". Rfam says of the family: Transfer RNA (tRNA) molecules are approximately 80 nucleotides in length. Their secondary structure includes four short double-helical elements and three loops (D, anti-codon, and T loops). Further hydrogen bonds mediate the characteristic L-shaped molecular structure. tRNAs have two regions of fundamental functional importance: the anti-codon, which is responsible for specific mRNA codon recognition, and the 3' end, to which the tRNAs corresponding amino acid is attached (by aminoacyl-tRNA synthetases). tRNAs cope with the degeneracy of the genetic code in two manners: having more than one tRNA (with a specific anti-codon) for a particular amino acid; and 'wobble' base-pairing, i.e. permitting non-standard base-pairing at the 3rd anti-codon position. RNAcentral also lists the same sequence under 3 other names. Lineage: Eukaryota; Metazoa; Chordata; Mammalia; Artiodactyla; Camelidae. The record is from Rfam by way of RNAcentral.